This 1371-nucleotide ribosomal RNA is filed under the name metagenome. Its description in RNAcentral is "bacterial LSU rRNA". It matches the Rfam family "Bacterial large subunit ribosomal RNA", at positions 1568 to 2925 of the family's 2925-position model. The record is from RNAcentral.
CAGUAGCCGUAGCGGCGAAAUCCAUGAUCCUAUGCUGCCGAGAAAAGCCUCUAGCGAGCUGGUACAUGGCCCGUACCCCAAACCGACACAGGUGGUCAGGUAGAGAAUACUAAGGCGAUCGAGAGAACUGUGGUAAGGAACUCGGCAAAAUGCCCCCGUAACUUCGGGAGAAGGGGGACCAGUCCUGGUGACGACAUUUACUGUCUGAGCUGGGGUUGGUCGCAGAGACCAGAGAGAAGCGACUGUUUACUAAAAACACAGGUCCGUGCGAAGUCGUAAGACGAUGUAUACGGACUGACGCCUGCCCGGUGCUGGAAGGUUAAGAGGACCGGUCAGCCACUUCGGUGGCGAAGCUGAGAAUUUAAGCCCCAGUAAACGGCGGUGGUAACUAUAACCAUCCUAAGGUAGCGAAAUUCCUUGUCGGGUAAGUUCCGACCUGCACGAAUGGCGUAACGACUUCUCUGCUGUCUCAACCACAGACUCGGCGAAAUUGCAGUACGAGUAAAGAUGCUCGUUACGCGCGGCAGGACGAAAAGACCCCGGGACCUUCACUAUAGCUUGGUAUUGGUGUUCGGUUCGGUUUGUGUAGGAUAGGUGGGAGACUGUGAAACUCGCACGCCAGUGUGGGUGGAGUCAUUGUUGAAAUACCACUCUGACCGUAUUGGACAUCUAACCUCGGACCAUGAUCUGGUUCAGGGACAGUGCCUGGUGGGUAGUUUAACUGGGGCGGUUGCCUCCUAAAAAGUAACGGAGGCGCCCAAAGGUUCCCUCAGCCUGGUUGGCAAUCAGGUGUUGAGUGUAAGUGCACAAGGGAGCUUGACUGUGAGACGUACAUGUCGAGCAGGGACGAAAGUCGGGACUAGUGAUCCGGCACCGGCAAGUGGAAGCGGUGUCGCUCAACGGAUAAAAGGUACCCCGGGGAUAACAGGCUGAUCUUCCCCAAGAGUCCAUAUCGAUGGGAUGGUUUGGUACCUCGAUGUCGGCUCGUCGCAUCCUGGGGCUGGAGUAGGUCCCAAGGGUUGGGCUGUUCGCCCAUUAAAGCGGCACGCGAGCUGGGUUUAGAACGUCGUGAGACAGUUCGGUCUCUAUUCGCCGCGCGCGUAAGAAACUUGAGGAAACCUGUCCCUAGUACGAAAGGACCGGGACGGACGAACCUCUAGUGUGCCAGUUGUUCCACCAAGAGCACCGCUGGUUAGCUACGUUCGGAAGGGAUAACCGCUGAAAGCAUCUAAGCGGGAAGCCUGUUCCAAGAUGAGGUUUCUCACCACCUAGCGUGGUUAAGGCCCCCCACAGACCAUGGGGUUGAUAGGCCAGAACUGUAAGCACAGCAAUGUGUUCAGGUGACUGGUACUAAUCGGCCGAGGACUUACC